This 3947-nucleotide small RNA is filed under the name Rattus norvegicus (Norway rat). RNAcentral describes it as "uncharacterized LOC103691652". The record is from RNAcentral. Lineage: Eukaryota; Metazoa; Chordata; Mammalia; Rodentia; Muridae.
GGCUCCGCCUCCGCCUCUAACCCCUCCCCGCCGGGCCCGGACCACGCUAGCCGCUGCCUAGCCCGGGCUCCCGGCAGGAGGGCGCCCGGGCCCAGUACCCGAGUGCCCCGGUCUCUAGAGGGCUACGGAGCGCGUCUGCCUCCAGGACCGGGUAUUUGACUGAGCAGCCUGCGAAGUAGAGCGCGGAAGGUCCGCAGUGGGUGCGGCGCGGCGCAGUCGGGGCUAGCCCACUUGCUCAGCGUAGCUUUUCUAGAGCGUCGGGGGUCUCGAGGGGCCGGGGUUGGACAGCAGCUGCGCGACUCCGAGGGACUCUUCUCUGCAGAUCCAGGCCCGCACCUAUCUGCAGAUGUUCUUCCAUAGAGCAAUUCUCUGCACUUCUUAGAAACAACUGUUGCUUAUACAACUGUUGCUUAUAGCAGAAGACAGCCUUUAUCUCUUCCAGUGAUCCACAGACUUGAUGAAAUCAGUUCGGGCCUCAGAGAGAAGAUGAAUUGUAAGCAAAAUUCAAAAAUCACGAUUCUGGGGAAAAAGACCCCCAAAUCCAGAGCCCUGUAGUACCAGCCCUGCUAGUUCAACUGAAGGCUGCAGCAUGCCCUGAUCUAAACGGGAAAACACAACAAGGAAAAUAUCAGAAGCACAAGCCAGAGCUGUUGUCCUCCUUACUCAUCCACUCAUCCAUCAAGAUAAGUCAGAGAUCAAAAGGAAUUCCCUCUCCAUCCUCCAAGAAAGACACUUGAGGAGACAAUUAGUAACAUGGUGAGAGGAGCUGGAUCUCAAGUCCCCAAAGCACAAAGUAAGAAGCAGCCAGCUCUGCCAAGAGACAGGAAAAAACCCUGACUGGACCUUCAGAGACAGAUCAGGAGGAUCAAGGAAACUCCAAUCGAGCACAUCACAUGGCAUCGUCCCCAUUAUCCACUACUUCCUCCCAACCGCGCUUUCUAAACUGCUGAGGAUGGAAGAGAAAGCAGACUGGACUUGCAGUAUACAUUUCACACUCUCAUCCAACAAGCAACUUAGCCGCUGACACACUGCCAGCUGGUCCCAUCAAGUCAGGUGGCAUGGGUCACCCAACAAGCUGCCUGUUGGAAUAGCUGGCUGUUACAUAGCCUGUUAAGAACCAGGCGAACAAGACCACCAAAAUGUGGCAGCUGCUGUCCAGACAAGACACCUUCAGGCAGAGCUGGGUGCAGCCCGGUGACUCGUGCAGACAACAUCUGGGUUUUAGUUGGAAGACGGCCUCUGCAUUGGAUGAAGCUCUUCCCACAGACUGCAGAUGCCCUGUGGAUGGCUACCUUCCUCUCUGUGAUGGACUGCACCCUUGAGCCAGCCCAAAGAAACACUUCUUUCCCUGAGUCACAUUCACCGGGCAUUUUUUCACAGCAAAGAGGAAAGUGACUAACACAAGUUGUUACCCCAUUUCUGCUAGAUCUGGGCUCCUUUCAUUAGUCAACAUGACAUGGAUUGAACACCCACUCUGCCCUACUACUGAUCUACAAUGAAGGUGCCGGAACAAGGAAGUUAUGGGAACAAGACAGAGUUGGUUCAAAGAGAUGAUCGACAACAGCGCAGACAUGAAUGAGCAGGAUAAUGCAUGAUGACAGCCCAGUGAAGACCAUAAAGCAGAGGAUCCGGGGGCCAAGGAGAAUAUGUCUGCCCUGUGGUCAGGGAGGUCAACUUUUGGGGAAGUAUUUAACAUUGUCCCUGAGGCCUGUGCUUUGAAUCUUCUUGGCCCAUUUCUUAAUAUCAUGGCUCUCAUGACUUGAUCUUAGUGCCUUUCCUCCGCCAUUUCAGCUGUAGGACCCCAGGAAGGCUUCUCAGAGCCUCCCACAGCAAGCCAUAUGCUAUCCUACUACUUAUAAACCCACACUCUAUAAUGGUCCUUCACUCUGGCACCUCAUUAUAGAAAGUAGGAUGAAGUUGGCACCGAGAAUGAUUCCUAUUUGCUUCAGCCACAGUAAUCUCUUCAUUUUCUAAGACUUCAGUUAUGUGUGUUCAAUCAUCAUGGGAAAAUAUUGAAAAGAAAAUUAUUAGAAAUAAGCAGUUUAUUAAUUUAAGUGACUUUUAUUAUAGCAUUUUGUUAUAUGGCUCUACUUUGUUAUUAGUUGUUGGUAAUCAUUUACUAUGCUUUAUAAAUUAUUUGUCAAUAUUAAUAUUUGUUUAUAGGAGAAAAGAGUGCAUAUAGGAUUUGAUGCUAUCUGGGUUUCAAGCAUUCACUGGGGGUCUGGGAAUGGAUCCUCUGAGAUAAAAGGGGCAUGUCUCUUUUAAUACGCAUAAGGUUUACACUGCAGUACUGCUAAGUUCACUUUACUAUUUGGGACUCUGCUGAAAUUAUCUCUUUGCAGAGGAAGAGUAUCUCACCACCCACAUCAGCUUCCUCCUUCACCCAGAACAGAUUCCCAGAAAAUAAAAGUUCCUAAGACUGUUCUAGAAAGUUCAGAGACACAGAUGAGAACUUUGCUCUUUAAUCAUGCUUCAGGAAUGCAGGUGUUAUCUGUACACACUAUUAUCAAUUGUCUUUGAGAUCGCUGGCUAGAGUAAGCUUGGUCAUGAUUUCUAAUCAUUAGAGAUAGGUUGGGAGUUUUCAAUUCAUUUAUUCUCUUUAUUGUAGCUAAUUGAAGAAUACGUUGCCUUUGGAUUCAAAUAGCCAUUACUGGUUCUCUUUGCCAAGCCCUAUGCAAGACAUAUCUCCUUGGGAUUUUGUGAUGGCUUAGUGCUCUGUGUCAGGGAUAGAGAGGUGAGGCUCAGGUGAAUUAAGGGCUAGCUCAAAGUCAAAUGUAGGGGUAGAAACACGUGCAAGUCUUCUGACCCCAGUACAUGGACUUGCAGGCUGGAGCUCUCCUACCUUUCUUUUUACACACAGUAUUGACUCACAUCUUGAGGAAACUGAGGUUAAAUGUAAUGCGCAAGCAUUCAUCUUUGUAAAGAUUUGUUUCAUUGGGACCACUGGUUACAAGUGAAAGCUACAGUGGAUGUGUCCAUGACAUAGAUUAAACACGAUUACAGAGGAGGUGGUGUAUCCCUCACAUCUUGACUUCUCUUACGUUUAAUAUAACCCUGAAGAGGACACAGAAGUUCAAAUAGAGCAUAUGGCAUUCAUAAGGUUACAUACAUGUAAUCAUACAUGAUACUUUUAUUGUAAAUAAAAAACACUAUUUAUAAUGGCAACAAGUGCAUUAUACAGAUAAAACAUAGGACUGCAGCUUCAUUAUUUAUUAAAGGAAAGAAAAAAAAUCUACACAAGUGAUCGGGGAAACAUAGUCUUACUCUGGUGGCAUUUGUCCCUAGAUUGUCCCUAGAUUGCUUUACAGAUUUCAUCACAAUUCAAAUCAAAAUCAUAGCAGGAAUUUGUGGGAUUGUGAUAAACUCAUUUUGAGUUUUCUAUGAAAGUAAUAAAGGCUUUUGAGUAAUCAACACUGAAAAAGAAAACACAGGAAUGGGAGCACUCGACUAGUAAAUGAGACAUUGUUGAGAAGGUGCAGAACAAACAAAUAAACCGAUGGAGAAUCCCUAAAGCAAGGUCACUUGUGCUGCAGUGCACUGACAGAACUCAACACAGCAGCUGUUCUUCAUCGGAGAGGCUGCGACCAUGUAAAAUCAGGAAAUCUUCAAGAUCAGGCCUGUUGACCACUGAUGCUCCCUUACAGGGGAAAAGGUGGAGAGAACAUGGGGAAGCUUAUUACACCUUCUCUUGAGACUCCAGCUUUUUCUUCCUGAACCUCCCAGCCAGUUGUAUAUAAUUCUGUUCCACCUGCACAUGGUCUCAUAGUCUUGGGAGUAUACAGUCUGUGGCAGGCUAGUGGAAGGGAGUGACUCCAUAUUUGCAGUGGUGGGGAAGUCACCCAUCAUUGACAUUGGGAGUGGUUGUGUGGCUACUUUGGGGUCAUUAAUAUACCUAUAAAUAAUUCUUCACCCAUGCUCUGUAAGUAAAAAUAAAGUUAUUAACUCAC